UAUAUUUUUAAAUAUUUAUUUAUAUAUUUAUUAGAAUACUAAAUUUCACAUUCCAAAAACCCUACCUCACCCCUCAACUCUAAACCCUAAAUCUAGAUUAGUUAACCCUAAGGGUAUAAUUGUUUUUUACCUUUCAUUAAAAGUGAAGGUAAAAGUGGUUAGUGUAAAGUGUAAACAUGAAAAGUGGUACUAUAAAUGUGCUAUUUGUGGUAAUUUCCCACUAAAGAACUAAACUGGAUUAAAUUAAAAAAUAUGGUAUAGUUUUGAUGGUAUAACAAAUAUCAAUUUAACUUUACUAAAUCUCAUCAAAAUAUAUUAAGUGUAAACAAUGUAAAAUUAAUUCCUUGAAUAUAAAACUAACAAUAUAAUGGUUUGUUUGUACUUAUAUAAAAUAUAUAUACAUAUAAACUGAUAGUUUAUACUUUUAAUUGAAUAUAUAUUUACAUAGAAUUUUCUAUAAAAAAAAUUCUUAUUGAUUUGUGUCAUUUUGAACCAGUCAAACUUGAAACCAGAUAUAUUUAUUAAUUUAUGAGUGUUAAUUAUAGAGUUUCUAAUGUAGCUAUUUCAUAUUAUUAUAUUUGAAAAUCUAAUAACUUUUAAAAUUUGAAUAUAUGAGGAUUAUCUUCUCCCUCUUCCUUUUCUUCCUUUCCAAUUCCUUAUGAAUAUACAAAUAUAUAAUAUUUCAGAUAUAUGUAUAUAUAUAUAUAUAUAGUACUAAACAUAUAAUACUUUCUUGUUCACUUUAUGAAAAUUAUAUUUAUUUUUAAUAAAUGUGGAUAUAUAUAUUUUUCCUGUUUAACUGAUUUGUUUGGCAAUUGUUAUUGCUCUUGCCAAUUAUUUCAAGAUUUGGUUUAUUAUUAUAUAUUAAUUUUAUGUAUGUUUGGACAACUGAUAUAUAGAGAAUUUGAAGAAAUUAAUGUUGUUAACAAAGAAAAGGUGUUGAAAAUCUCAAAUAAUUAUUUAAAUAUACAGCAUAUAAACCUAAAUAAUGAGAUAAAAUACAAAUGUACAAUUGUGUACAAACAAUAAAGACAUAAAAAAAAUUCAAACACUCACAACUUUAUAAUGGAUCAUAUGGUAGAAGAGGAAAUUUUGGAGCGUCUUCCGGUGAAAUCUUUGUGUAGAUUCAAAUCUGUAUCAUAACAAUGGAAAUCGAUGAUCGAAUCCAGCUAUCUUGCCAAAAAACGUCUUGUCCGAUUUCCAGAUCUAGUACUCUUUCUUCUUAAAUCAGAAAAGUUUAAAGAUGAUCAAAGUUCAAAAACCAUUUUUUUGAAACCUUAUGGCGUCGAAGAAAAAAUUACAAUUUGUUCUUACAAGCUUCCGGAUCGACAUUGUGAAUUUUAUCACGAUCAUAGAGCUCGAAUUGUGGGGUAUUGCGAUGGGUUGGCUUGCAUCUAUCAUCUUGGAUACAUAUAUAUAAUUAACACCACAAUUAGAAAAUUUCGGAUACUUUCUCCUGAUUUUUUGCGAAACUACGCAUUCUUAUCAGGUACUUAACACUCUUUAAUUCAGUGAGUCUUUGGUGUGCUCGUGGCCAGCUAAGGUGACAGAAGGAUAUGAGUUCUCAAAAAUCUGAACUUAUGUUUCCAUGUUAUAAUUAUGAAAUUUAUUUAUAUAUACAAUACAAAAAUUUACACUUUAACAAAUUAGAUUAAAAAGAACCUAAAAUAUUAUUCAUUUGUUUAAAAAAUUAGUAGACGUCAUUUUAAAAUAUAAAUAUUAAAGGUUUACGAAAAAAAGUCCUAAGAUCCAUAAAAAAAAGUUAAACUAACCUUGAGUGUGCUAAUCAAAUUCCUAACCAUUUAUAUAUAAAUAUAUACUAGAUUUUGACCCGCGCUUUCAAAGCGCGGGAUCGUUACUUUUGUAAAAUUUCAUUUAAAUUAAUAAAUAUUUAUCUAAUCUAUAUUUUAAUAGAUUUUUAUUUGUUUAUGGUCAAUUUUUAUAACAUUAUCUUCUUUAUUUUAUUUUUAUUAUUAAAAAUAAAAAUGUUUGUUUGUGAACUAAUUAAUUAGUUAAAAUAUUUUAAAAUGGUAAACAUCUACUCAAUAAAUUUAAUCAUAUUGUAAUGAUAUAUUUGGUAAGGUUAUUUAUUUAUAAUUUUAACUUAUUAAAUAAAUAUUAUAUGAAAAAUGUAAUAGGCAUUUCAUUUUUCAUUCUACAUAUUUUUAAUUCAUGCAUAAUUUUUAAAUUAUAAUAACAGAAAUAUUUAAUAAUUAUUAUGUAUUUAAAUUGGCUUAUACAUAGUUGGUUUUAAAAGAAAACACUGUUGGGCUUUGGUUUGUUUAGGAUUUGUUUUUUGUUAGAUAAAAUGGGCUAGAAUUGCCCAAAGAGAGCAACAAAUCUGUUAUGUCAAAAUCUAUGUUUUUGUGGCCGUUUGGUUAAAAAAAAAACAGAAAAGGGAAAGUAGAAAAAAAAUAUUUCUCGAUCCAAUUUUUCUUUGAGGAAUCGACGACACGCUAGAACUGAAAUAGAGAAUCGAUGAGAGAAUCAGUGGGUAGAUCUAUCGAUCUUGAUGGAUAGGGCGUUGGUGAAGAUUGAAACUGUUGAUUGGUGAAUGUUUCUCAUGAAUCGGGUAUUAAUUAUAAGCAAACCAUAAAUUUCGAUUUGAUUUCCUUUCCUCUUGGCAUAAUAAUUGUUUUAUUCUGCAGGUUCACAGAUAAAGAAGAUGAAAUGGGUAAUUUGCUUACAAUUGAAAAAGGAAUUGAAUGUCAACUUAAUGGGCUUAAAAAACACGAAAAUGUCGGUCAAAAUCACCAAUGAAUGUAGGAUUUGGAAAAGACAUCGUUACAGGAGCAUACAAAGUCGUUCUGAUGUAUUUAUACGACCGCAUUGCUACUAAGACUCUUAUCAAGACCCACGUCUUUAACCUCAGCAACGGCGAACGAAGAUGCAUUUAUUUUCCCUAUGUUGAGAAUCAAUUUAACAUUGAUAAAAUAUCCACAUUUGCAAAUGGAUCUCUUUAUUGGCUGAAUAAUAUAACCUAACCAUUACGGCAUUGGAUCUUCAUACAGAACUGUUUUACGAGGUACUGCCACCAAGUUGCUUCACCAAAUACUCCAACAAAGUGUAUUUAUGGAGCCUAAAAGAUCGCUUAUGCCUAUGUGAAGUGGAAGAUUUAUCAGAUGUAGACAUAUGGGGCUUGCAACAAGAAGGUUCGAGUGUCAAGUGGGAGAAGUUUCUUUCAGAUUCUGCAUUUAGUAAGGAGUGUUUUGAGCAUCCUUAUUGGAUGACUGGCGUUUUGACUUGUUACCAGAUUUACGAGGAUGCGAGCACCGCAUUGUGUACGAAGGAUUUGGCUGCUUUGCUCUAGUUUCAUGUUCAUUGUUUUAAAGUACAUGGUUCUUUGUAUCCCAACAAGAACAUAAUAUAUAGUAUAUGUUAUUUUGAAUUUACACAUCCACUUCCUUGCAAGCACUGGCCACUUGUAGAUGACAUGAGAGCGUAUUGGGUUCCCUCGCUUCAGCAGCCCUUUCAACUUGUUCUUCUUGUUUUGA
Molecule: long non-coding RNA, 3494 nt
Organism: Brassica rapa (field mustard)
Lineage: Eukaryota; Viridiplantae; Streptophyta; Magnoliopsida; Brassicales; Brassicaceae
Source: RefSeq, a predicted model, not a curated record